GCGUGGAUGAUGAAGGCCCUAGGGUUGUAAAAUCCUUUCGCCGAGGACGAUAAUGACGGUACUCGGAGAAGAAGCUCCGGCUAACUUCGUGCCAGCAGCCGCGGUAAUACGAAGGGGGCUAGCGUUGUUCGGAUUUACUGGGCGUAAAGCGCGUGUAGGCGGGUCGUUAAGUUGGGGGUGAAAUCCCGAGGCUCAACCUCGGAACUGCCUCCAAAACUGGCGACCUGGAGCAAGAUAGAGGCGAGUGGAAUUCCGAGUGUAGAGGUGAAAUUCGU
This 275-nucleotide ribosomal RNA is filed under the name uncultured bacterium. RNAcentral describes it as "partial 16S ribosomal RNA". It matches the Rfam family "Bacterial small subunit ribosomal RNA", at positions 399 to 691 of the family's 1533-position model. The record is from RNAcentral.